UGCGAGUGAAGCGGCAACAGCUCAAAUUUGAAAUCUGGCUCCUUUGGGGCCCGAGUUGUAAUUUGUAGAGGGUGUUUCGGGCGCGAUGCCGGUCUAAGUUCCUUGGAACAGGACGUCGUAGAGGGUGAGAAUCCCGUAUGCGACCGGCGAUCAAGCCCGUGCGAAACCCCUUCGACGAGUCGAGUUGUUUGGGAAUGCAGCUCAAAAUGGGUGGUAAAUUUCAUCUAAAGCUAAAUACUGGCCAGAGACCGAUAGCGGACAAGUAGAGUGAUCGAAAGAUGAAAAGCACUUUGGAAAGAGAGUCAAACAGUACGUGAAAUUGUUGAAAGGGAAGCGCUUGCAAUCAGACCGGUCCGGAGGCGAUCAGCCGCUGCUUGUCAGCGGUGCACUCGCCUGCGAUCCGGCCAGCAUCGGUUUGGGCGGCGGGAUAAAAGUCCCGGGAAUGUAGCUUCCCCCGGGGAGUCUUAUAGCCCGGGUCGCAAUGCCGCCCGCCUGGACCGAGGACCGCGCUCGGCUAGGA
RNAcentral lists this ribosomal RNA (520 nucleotides) under Sticta parahumboldtii. RNAcentral's name for it is "eukaryotic LSU rRNA". It matches the Rfam family "Eukaryotic large subunit ribosomal RNA", at positions 88 to 610 of the family's 3401-position model. The record is from RNAcentral. Lineage: Eukaryota; Fungi; Ascomycota; Lecanoromycetes; Peltigerales; Lobariaceae.